This 223-nucleotide long non-coding RNA is filed under the name Olea europaea (common olive). RNAcentral describes it as "long non-coding RNA (OEUR_LNC005502)". Lineage: Eukaryota; Viridiplantae; Streptophyta; Magnoliopsida; Lamiales; Oleaceae. The record is from RNAcentral.
AGGAGGAACCCCCAUCACUUAGAGAAAUCUAAGUUUGAUAAAAGAAAAAUGAGUUCUAAUGAAGAUACUCCCCCAAGGAGGGUAAGAGAAAAUACGAAUAUGCCUCCCCAGCCUGCUGCCCCAGUAGUUCGGCAGAGGCUCCACCACCACCAAAGGAGAGGUGGGAUGCGUGCGACGGCACGACUAUCAAGAGAAAUGGCUACUAUGGCAGCCAACAUGAGGG